UUGAUCACGUGACCCCGGUGGUUGAGUAACUGGCUGUGAGCAGCAUGGCCCCUGGGGUAAGGGACAUGAAGGAGAACCUCUUGAGGCUGGGUCUACUGCUGAUCUAAGUCGCGGGGGGCGUGGGUCGGACCAGAAACGGCUUGCGACGCGCAGCGCGGGCUGGAGUGAUGCGUGUGUCCAAAGUGGAGCGACACCUGCCUGUUAGAGCUGAACAGGAAGAUGGUACACACCAGAAUCUGGAUACCAUGCACAAAUAUCCAGGACUAGCUCUUGGCUUCAUAAAUUAACUAACUGCACUGGAUUCGGUUAUAAAGAACAAGCUACACUGGUCGACGUCUACAAAAGUAGAGGUCAGCUCCAAACGACUCUUUCCUGAAUCUACGCCUAGGUCGUCAAAAUCCUCCCUGGGACUUUGUCCCAGCUCCUGAACUGAUGCGCUUCCGGACGGAGCCCGGAACAAAAUGAGGCAGUGCGUUUAAAAUGCAUCCCAGCCUUGGUUCUCUCACAAUGUCACAGUCAUGCGGGCUAUGAAGAGGCGUGGGGGAGAAACCCAGGCUGUGACACUGUGCUUGGCUGACAGCGGGAGCACAGGGCUUUUGGAAAAGUCCGCGCGCGGAAACAUUUCCGGCUCUUCCGAACCCGUCCCGCCGUUCCCUCCGUGCAUCCGCCAGGAGACAGUGGGACGCCGGCCUGUGCGGAUUUCAUCCCGGCGUUAAAUUCCCCGUAACGGCUCCGAUUUAGACGGAUCAGCGACGGCUUUCCCCUCGUCUUGGCUAAACGCUCAGCACAACCUUACAGGGCGAUGCAGACCAGCUGGGAUUCACGCCUGGGUUCCUCCAAGUUCCUGCCUAUUCCGCCCAAAUUCUGAAGACGCGCGGGCUGGAACUUGCGUUGGGGCUGAAACCCACCCCACACUUGAGGGCGGGCCCUCGUGCGCUCAGCCACGCUAAGAAACGUCCGACGGCUCGGACACGUUUGAAAACGCAGACGAGAUCACCUGGCAGGAUAAGGCCGGCUGGAAAAACAGGCCAUUUGGUGGCUGACUUGUAGCUGCGUUGUGGCGGGGUGCCUCGCUUCGGGAGCACGGGGCUCUGGGGCCAGAGCUCUGGCCGGCACGGCGGACCAAAGACGAGGUAAAACUGUUGUUUUCGCUUAACCGGCCAGAACGCAAGAACAAAAGAAUCAGUAAAACGUGCUCUGGGAGGGGAAAGAGCAAAACCAAAAAAUGCCAAACCACAGCCUUGUGUUUCUAAAUAAGAAAAAAGAGGAACAUUAUCUUCUACUGGUGAUUAUCUGGU
Molecule: long non-coding RNA, 1298 nt
Organism: Electrophorus electricus (electric eel)
Lineage: Eukaryota; Metazoa; Chordata; Actinopteri; Gymnotiformes; Gymnotidae
Source: RefSeq, a predicted model, not a curated record